Molecule: ribosomal RNA, 289 nt
Filed under: uncultured bacterium
Lineage: Bacteria
Description: partial 16S ribosomal RNA
Rfam family: Bacterial small subunit ribosomal RNA
Source: RNAcentral
GGAUUAGAUACCCUGGUAGUCCACGCCGUAAACGAUGUUCACUCGCUGUUUGCGAUACACAGUAAGCGGCUGAGCGAAAGCAUUAAGUGAACCACCUGGGGAGUACGAUCGCAAGGUUGAAACUCAAAGGAAUUGACGGGGGCCCGCACAAGCGGAGGAACAUGUGGUUUAAUUCGAUGAUACGCGAGGAACCUUACCUGGGCUUAAAUGUAGAUUGCAUAGAUUAGAGAUAGUCUUUUACUUCGGUACUAUCUACAAGGUGCUGCAUGGUUGUCGUCAGCUCGUGCCG